CGUAAACACACAAGGCGCAAAUGUUGCGGCGCACGGUAUCGUCUUUUGCCUUGGGCGGGCGCCAUUCCGGCGACCAGAGGUUCUGCGCUGCGCACACACACACACACACACACGACCCAAGUUGGGCGAGGUCAGUCGCCACAAAUCCUUUUUUCUUUUUUUCUUUUUGGACAGAUACUUUUUUCUCACUAUUUUUUUGGGAUGGGUCUUUGGGUUGUGUGUUUUAUUUUUCCUAAUGUUGGCGCUUCCGCAGGCGGAAGAGAAGCGCCAACGCAAAGAGCACGACCGCGGCACAGGCGACUGCGUACGCGAGCACGCCCUCGACGCUGCCGGUGACCAACGAGACCCCCGUCACGAGAAGAAGCCCGAGAAUGGCCCAGUAGACAGCGGCGGGCGAUACGUGUUUGCACGCCAUGUCGCCCAACUUGGUGCCGACGGCGCUUCCUACAGUCGCCACCGCAUAAUACGGCCAUUGGCUGUGCCAGUCAAAGAGCCCGUGCCUAGUCGCCAGGGCGAGUGUGGACGAUCCGUACAUAUGUGUGUGGUGUUUUUUUUUAAAAAAAAGCGUCAGACAAAUUGUCGAGUGUGCGCACAGACCACAACAAAGAGGCUGGCGUACGAUGCGUGCCGACACGAAAAAUAAAAAAAUCCAAACAAAAAAUAAACCAAAAGCCAAAAGCGAUGACGGGCGAUAUGGCAGAGAGGGGAGAUGGGCGGUCGAAAAAACAAGUACCCCCAUAAAAAGCCUAUUUGGAGCACCGAGACGGCGCCAAAGAGGCACAUCAUGGUCGCUCGCCUGCCACGACCAACAACACAAGGGAUUUGUCGCGCCGGCGCAGGAUAACCAAAAAAAAGGUGGAAAAAAAUCGAGUCAGCAUAGACGACAGCCGCAGACAAAAAGAAAACACCGCGCCGGCGAGAGACGACUUUAGAAGCAACAACGAUUGCAAAAGAGUGGAUAGGAAAAAAGUGGCAUACAUGCGCUCGACAGGCAUGGCAACGAUGGCGGCAAAGACC
RNAcentral lists this long non-coding RNA (1017 nucleotides) under Pandoravirus quercus. RNAcentral's name for it is "hypothetical ncRNA". The record is from RNAcentral.